Molecule: long non-coding RNA, 1419 nt
Filed under: Danio rerio (zebrafish)
Lineage: Eukaryota; Metazoa; Chordata; Actinopteri; Cypriniformes; Danionidae
Description: si:dkey-28g23.3 (ENSDARG00000097263.2)
Source: RNAcentral
AAGGAAUUGCUCGAAUCUAAUGAGGAAGCGCUUUCUCCUACCUUUCACAGCCAUGGAAGCUUCCUGAAAGUCGCAGUUGAUUUUGUUGUUGACACUGGACUCCAUAUUCCCCUAAAAAGAAGCUGAGUCGAAUGUAAUAGUCUCGGGGGUCCACAUUUCAACAAGUUGAGCUAAGUUGACGCCAUUUCAGGACGACGAUUAAUCUGACUGAAUGACAAACGACCAACAGGAUUUUUAGCUGAAACCAAGAUUAUAUACUGCAUGAUGGACAAACAGGAAGGUAAGUUAAAAUUAAAAAGCAGAAAAAAUCAUCCCAUAAAUGUUUCACCAUGAGGUUCAUACUGUGGUAGUUAUGAUGGCCGCCCUGUGAUAUGCCCUUGGCGAUGACAGGCAUCAGAGCAUGCUGGAUGACCAUCUCCCACAUGUGGGCCACAUCCUGCCCCACACCGCUAACAAGCAUGCUGCUUCCAUAGCCUGAGGAUCCCCCGUCGGCUCGGCUCAGGUUCUCCCCCACAUAGUACACCAGAGAUGUGGUGGCGAUCUCAAAGCAAUGUGGGUUUGCACCCUCAGGCAGAAGGUUGAAUGUUUUCGCUGGCUCCAGAGACAACACCUCAGAUAGAGGAAUUUCCUGUUGGAGAGGGUUAAGAGGUCUUGUCUGAAAGCUGAAACCUCAGUGAUGCUGCUGAGACAUGCAUGUGGAUCUGACAUUAUUGAAAAAAGUGUAAAAGGCUUCUAGAAGUGCAGAGGAUCUACCUGAUGAUCCUGUUGGACUCAUCCGGGUCUAGGUCUUGAAAAUCUCCAAGCUCACCAUGUCCAGCUUCCAAAUAAGCAGCAGAAUCCCCCACCAGAGACUCUUCCAUGUCAUCGAUAAGCGGACUGUGUCUGUCCCCAUCGUGGUCAUCACAGCCCUCCUCCAUGACCACAUCUGAUUCAGCACCGGGACUCAACAAAUCUGAGCCGCCAUAAGAAGAGAACAGGAAGAUAAAGUGAGUCAUGUGAUGUUAUAUAUUUGAUGAAAAAAAGCUGUCAGUUUAACACCAUUAAUCCUGGAACUUGAAAAUGAGCAGUUUCAAAUUCCCAUUCAGAAAAGUACAUCAAUAAUGUUUUAUUCUAAAAUAUUCUAAUAUAAAUAGGCAAUAGCAUAAUAGAGGACUCACUGCAGUUACUGUAUAUCAUUUUGUUCUUUAGCCUUUGCAAAAGAUUUUAUGCUUACUGUAAAUGUACAAAAACACUUUUGUGUCGCUCUGAUAUUAUAACUAAUAUCACAAAUGACUCAUAAUUAGGGCCAGACAGAAUUUGCAGAUAUUUUUGUUAUUUCUGCUGAGAAAUUUGUCAGAAUUCUGUGGUUUUAUGUGGAAUGAUUUUAGAAGUAUUAUAACUAAAACUUAAUAUAUGAAAAAUAAAACUUUUAAACUUUUA